AUGGAGUUUUCCUGCCCGAGUCUGCCGGUGGAUAUUCGCGGAGACCUAGAGAGGUUCGCUAAGGCAUACGCGGAAGCGCACAGCCUUGAGGACCGUCUCCGCCACGUAAAGCAGGGCAUCGAAUUGCUGACGGCUGAGUUUUGGUGGCGUGCGUAUCCCGGAGUGCAGACGUACUACGAGAGACUUCAUUCGCUGCAGAGGGAAUUGGCGUGCGCGCUGCAUGCAUCGUCCGCCCGUGUCUCCGCAGCUGCUCCUACCGCUGUUUCAUCGCUUUACGUUCCCGUUCCUGUUCCUGUCGCCGCUCCGGCGGCUCCAGCCCAAGUUCCAGUCGCCGUGGCCUCGUUUCACCAUGCGGACCCCGUUACAGAGGUCCGGUCCACACCGCUCCCAGCGCCUCAAACGACGGACAGUCGCAGCUGCUCCGGACGGCGACGGCGGAGGCGCGGUUCCAGGAUUCCGGGUCCCGCGGUCUCGGUCAUGGGGACCGAGCAGCCUCCUUCUCCGACAGAGGAGCCCCUUGAUUCUCCGACUGACUGUGUCCCUCUGAUAACAGGCAUCCCAGACAGCGUCGCCCGACGGGUCCACCUCCUCUGCUCUCCUCCAGUUGCGUUUCUCUUUGCCCAUCUCAUGAACACCGCCGAUUCGGCAGCAGACCAGGGCACGAGAGAACAAUUGUUCGAGGAAGCAGCCGCUCUCGUCCUGAGGGAACCUGUCCUGCGUGAGGUCCUGCAACUCCCGGUCCUGCAGCCAGCAGCCGCUUCAUGUCCCACCUCUCAGUCAGGUCAGUCGAGCCCAGUUCAGUCUCCAGUCCAGCCGAGCCCUGUUCAGUCUCCAGUCCAGCCGAGCCCUGUUCAGUCUCCAGUCCAGUCGAGCCCAGUUCCAGUUCAGUCGAGCCCAGCCCCGGUUCCAGUUCAGUCGAGCCCAGCCCCGGUUCCAGUUCAGUCGAGCCCAGUACAGGUCUCAGCCCAGUCGAGCCCAGUACAGGUCUCAGCCCAGUCGAGCCCAGUACAGGUCUCAGCCCAGUCGAGCCCAGUCCAGUCGAGCCCAGUCCCGGUUCCAGUUCAGUCGAGCCCAGUCCAGGUUCCCGUCCAGUCGAGCCCAGUCCAGGUUCCAGUCCAGUCGAGCCCAGUACAGGUCUCAGUCCAGUCGAGCCCAGUACAGGUCUCAGUCCAGUCGAGCCCAGUUCAGGUUCCAGCCAGUCGAGCCCAGUUCAGGUUCCAGCCCAGUCGAGCCCAGUCCAGUCGAGCCCAGUCCAGGUUCCAGCCCAGUCGAGCCCAGUCCAGUCGAGCCCAGUUCAGGUUCCAGUCCAGUCGAGCCCAGUCCAGUCGAGCCCAGUUCAGGUUCCAGUCCAGUCGAGCCCAGUCCAGUCGAGCCCAGUCCAGUCGAGCCCAGUCCAGUCGAGCCCAGUUCAGUCGAGCUCUGUCCCAGUUCAGUCCAGUCACGCUCCUGUCCCAGUUCAGUCCAGUCACGCGCAGGUCUUAUCCCAGUCAGAGGACUCCACCUGUCGAACGGGUGCUGUGCACACCCGAUCAGGCCCGACGUCUCCUCCGUCGAGCUCGGCAGCUGUAA
Long non-coding RNA from Betta splendens (Siamese fighting fish), 1569 nucleotides. NCBI's taxonomy places the organism in Eukaryota, Metazoa, Chordata, Actinopteri, Anabantiformes, Osphronemidae. The record is from Ensembl.